CAGGCCUAACACAUGCAAGUCGAACGCACCUUCGGGUGAGUGGCAGACGGGUGAGUAACACGUGGGAACGUACCCUUUGGUUCGGAACAACUCCGGGAAACUGGAGCUAAUACCGGAUACGCCCUUUUGGGGAAAGGUUUAUCUGCCGAAGGAUCGGCCCGCGUCUGAUUAGCUAGUUGGUGGGGUAACGGCCUACCAAGGCGACGAUCAGUAGCUGGUCUGAGAGGAUGAUCAGCCACACUGGGACUGAGACACGGCCCAGACUCCUACGGGAGGCAGCAGUGGGGAAUAUUGGACAAUGGGCGCAAGCCUGAUCCAGCCAUGCCGCGUGAGUGAUGAAGGCCUUAGGGUUGUAAAGCUCUUUUGUCCGGGACGAUAAUGACGGUACCGGAAGAAUAAGCCCCGGCUAACUUCGUGCCAGCAGCCGCGGUAAU
Molecule: ribosomal RNA, 434 nt
Filed under: uncultured bacterium
Lineage: Bacteria
Description: bacterial SSU rRNA
Rfam family: Bacterial small subunit ribosomal RNA
Source: RNAcentral